UGGAAGCGUGGACUUCCGCGUAAAGGGAAAGGCGACUCCUUGGGAGCGUUUCCUAGUUGAGAGGAGGAAGCGGGGUGGGGGAUGGGAGAAGAACCCAGCACGUGUUUUUGCUUAAUCUCUUCCUUUUAUCUAAACAGAUUAAACACACAAACUUCGCUCCCGCCCCGCAGCGCGCUCUUCACUGCUUUCUAUUCGAUCCUGUCUUCUCCAGUGGAAAACAUAUGGCCUACUGUACUGUUAGAAGUGAAACAGGUUCUACAGCACCCAUCAAGUCAUUGCUUCAUCCCUAGUAGGUGCUGAGACAAAAAAAGGAGAACCUUCAGAAUAAAUUACAUGCCACCUGAUGACAAUGUAGGGG
Molecule: long non-coding RNA, 358 nt
Organism: Podarcis raffonei (Aeolian wall lizard)
Lineage: Eukaryota; Metazoa; Chordata; Lepidosauria; Squamata; Lacertidae
Exons: 2
Source: RefSeq, a predicted model, not a curated record